Molecule: ribosomal RNA, 278 nt
Filed under: uncultured bacterium
Lineage: Bacteria
Description: partial 16S ribosomal RNA
Rfam family: Bacterial small subunit ribosomal RNA
Source: RNAcentral
ACUCCGGUGGUACAAGAUGGACCCGCGUCUGAUUAGCUAGUUGGUAAGGUAACGGCUUACCAAGGCGACGAUCAGUAGCCGACCUGAGAGGGUGACCGGCCACAUUGGGACUGAGACACGGCCCAGACUCCUACGGGAGGCAGCAGUGGGGAAUAUUGCACAAUGGGGGAAACCCUGAUGCAGCAACGCCGCGUGAGUGAUGACGGUCUUCGGAUCGUAAAGUUCUGUCGCAGGGGAAGAUAAUGACGGUACCCUGUGAGGAAGCACCGGCUAACUAC